GCGCAGCAGUCGCGAAACCUUUGCAAUAAGCGAAAGCUUGACAGGGCUAUCCCGAGUGCCAUCCGCUGAGGAAGGCUUUUACCCAGUCUAGAACGCUGGGGGAAUAAGGAGAGGGCAAGUCUGGUGUCAGCCGCCGCGGUAAUACCAGCUCUCCGAGUGGUGUGGAUGUUUAUUGGGCCUAAAGCAUCCGUAGCUGGCUAGGUAAGUCCCUUGUUAAAUCCACCGAAUUAAUCGUUGGAUCGCGGGGGAUACUGCUUGGCUAGGGGACGAGAGAGGCAGACGGUAUUUUCGGGGUAGGGGUGAAAUCCUAUAAUCCCGGGAAGACCACCAGUGGCGAAGGCUGUCUGCUAGAACGCGCCCGACGGUGAGGGAUGAAAGCUGGGGGAGCGAACCGGAUUAGAUACCCGGGUAGUCCCAGCUGUAAACGAUGCAGACUAGGUGUUUGGACGGCCACGUGCCGUUCUAGUGCCGCAGGGAAGCUGUUAAGUCUGCCGCCUGGGGAGUACGAUCGCAAGAUUGAAACUUAAAGGAAUUGGCGGGGGAGCACCACAAGGGGUGAAGCUUGCGGUUUAAUUGGAUUCAACGCCGGG
RNAcentral lists this ribosomal RNA (590 nucleotides) under uncultured crenarchaeote. RNAcentral's name for it is "bacterial SSU rRNA". It matches the Rfam family "Archaeal small subunit ribosomal RNA", at positions 330 to 922 of the family's 1478-position model. Lineage: Archaea; Thermoproteati; Thermoproteota. The record is from RNAcentral.